UACGUAGGGUGCGGGCGUUGUCCGGAUUUAUUGGGCGUAAAGAGCUCGUAGGCGGUUUGUCGCGUCGGCCGUGAAAUCUCCACGCUUAACGUGGAGCGUGCGGUCGAUACGGGCAGACUUGAGUUCGGUAGGGGAGACUGGAAUUCCUGGUGUAGCGGUGAAAUGCGCAGAUAUCAGGAGGAACACCGGUGGCGAAGGCGGGUCUCUGGGCCGAUACUGACGCUGAGGAGCGAAAGCGUGGGGAGCAAACAGG
Molecule: ribosomal RNA, 253 nt
Filed under: uncultured bacterium
Lineage: Bacteria
Description: partial 16S ribosomal RNA
Rfam family: Bacterial small subunit ribosomal RNA
Source: RNAcentral